GAUGAAGAACGCAGCGAAAUGCGAUACGUAAUGUGAAUUGCAGAAUUCAGUGAAUCAUCGAGUCUUUGAACGCACAUUGCGCCCCCUGGUAUUCCGGGGGGCAUGCCUGUCCGAGCGUCAUUGCUGCCCUCAAGCACGGCUUGUGUGUUGGGCCUCCGUCCUCCUCCCGGGGACGGGCCCGAAAGGCAGCGGCGGCACCGCGUCCGGUCCUCGAGCGUAUGGGGCUUCGUCACCCGCUCUUGUAGGCCCGGCCGGCGCUUGCCGACACAUCAAUCUUUUUUCCAGGUUGACCUCGGAUCAGGUAGGAAUACCCGCUGAACUUAAGCAUAUCAAUAAGCGGAGGA
Molecule: unclassified non-coding RNA, 344 nt
Filed under: soil metagenome
Description: partial contains 5.8S ribosomal RNA, internal transcribed spacer 2, and large subunit ribosomal RNA
Rfam family: 5.8S ribosomal RNA (bases 1-120)
Source: RNAcentral